This 1727-nucleotide ribosomal RNA is filed under the name Klebsiella pneumoniae. Its description in RNAcentral is "partial 23S ribosomal RNA". It matches the Rfam family "Bacterial large subunit ribosomal RNA", at positions 1111 to 2822 of the family's 2925-position model. Lineage: Bacteria; Pseudomonadati; Pseudomonadota; Gammaproteobacteria; Enterobacterales; Enterobacteriaceae. The record is from RNAcentral.
AGCAGCCAUCAUUUAAAGAAAGCGUAAUAGCUCACUGGUCGAGUCGGCCUGCGCGGAAGAUGUAACGGGGCUAAACCAUGCACCGAAGCUGCGGCAGCGACACUAUGUGUUGUUGGGUAGGGGAGCGUUCUGUAAGCCUGCGAAGGUGUGCUGUGAGGCAUGCUGGAGGUAUCAGAAGUGCGAAUGCUGACAUAAGUAACGAUAAAGCGGGUGAAAAGCCCGCUCGCCGGAAGACCAAGGGUUCCUGUCCAACGUUAAUCGGGGCAGGGUGAGUCGACCCCUAAGGCGAGGCCGAAAGGCGUAGUCGAUGGGAAACAGGUUAAUAUUCCUGUACUUGGUGUUACUGCGAAGGGGGGACGGAGAAGGCUAUGUUAGCCGGGCGACGGUUGUCCCGGUUUAAGCAUGUAGGCUGGUUAUCCAGGCAAAUCCGGAUAAUCAAGGCUGAGGUGUGAUGACGAGGCACUACGGUGCUGAAGUAACAAAUGCCCUGCUUCCAGGAAAAGCCUCUAAGCAUCAGGUAACAUCAAAUCGUACCCCAAACCGACACAGGUGGUCAGGUAGAGAAUACCAAGGCGCUUGAGAGAACUCGGGUGAAGGAACUAGGCAAAAUGGUGCCGUAACUUCGGGAGAAGGCACGCUGGUGUGUAGGUGAAGUCCCUGCGGAUGGAGCUGAGACCAGUCGAAGAUACCAGCUGGCUGCAACUGUUUAUUAAAAACACAGCACUGUGCAAACACGAAAGUGGACGUAUACGGUGUGACGCCUGCCCGGUGCCGGAAGGUUAAUUGAUGGGGUUAUCCGUAAGGAGAAGCUCUUGAUCGAAGCCCCGGUAAACGGCGGCCGUAACUAUAACGGUCCUAAGGUAGCGAAAUUCCUUGUCGGGUAAGUUCCGACCUGCACGAAUGGCGUAAUGAUGGCCAGGCUGUCUCCACCCGAGACUCAGUGAAAUUGAACUCGCUGUGAAGAUGCAGUGUACCCGCGGCAAGACGGAAAGACCCCGUGAACCUUUACUAUAGCUUGACACUGAACAUUGAGCCUUGAUGUGUAGGAUAGGUGGGAGGCUUUGAAGCGUGGACGCCAGUCUGCGUGGAGCCAACCUUGAAAUACCACCCUUUAAUGUUUGAUGUUCUAACGUUGGCCCCUGACCGGGGUUGCGGACAGUGUCUGGUGGGUAGUUUGACUGGGGCGGUCUCCUCCCAAAGCGUAACGGAGGAGCACGAAGGUUAGCUAAUCCUGGUCGGACAUCAGGAGGUUAGUGCAAUGGCAUAAGCUAGCUUGACUGCGAGCGUGACGGCGCGAGCAGGUGCGAAAGCAGGUCAUAGUGAUCCGGUGGUUCUGAAUGGAAGGGCCAUCGCUCAACGGAUAAAAGGUACUCCGGGGAUAACAGGCUGAUACCGCCCAAGAGUUCAUAUCGACGGCGGUGUUUGGCACCUCGAUGUCGGCUCAUCACAUCCUGGGGCUGAAGUAGGUCCCAAGGGUAUGGCUGUUCGCCAUUUAAAGUGGUACGCGAGCUGGGUUUAGAACGUCGUGAGACAGUUCGGUCCCUAUCUGCCGUGGGCGCUGGAGAAUUGAGGGGGGCUGCUCCUAGUACGAGAGGACCGGAGUGGACGCAUCACUGGUGUUCGGGUUGUCAUGCCAAUGGCACUGCCCGGUAGCUAAAUGCGGAAGAGAUAAGUGCUGAAAGCAUCUAAGCACGAAACUUGCCCCGAGAUGAGUUCUCCCUGAGACU